GUAUUUGUGAGCGUGCCACAUCAUUGCACUAGCAGAGCAAUUGACAGAUUUUUCACAAAAAUACUAAAAUGAUCACGAUAAACAAAUUCAAAGAAAGACUAAAAUGAUUCACGAUAGACAAAUUCAAGGAAAAUACAAUUGAUUUUCAUUGUUAAGGACCAUAUUAACGAGUUAUAUCAAUGUCACGAACCAUUUUGGCCAAAAAGCCUUUAAUUUAUUUGAUUGUUAAAUUUGAGGGUAUUUGUGUCUAUUUAAGUGAAUUUUGGAUAUAUUUGAAAGUUUUUGUAAAAAGUGACUUUUUUGAAAUUAAGGGUUAAUUUUUUGCUACAUUUGAUAAAUACUCGUUCAGUAGCAUGACCGACUUCUCUGAACAUGUUGUACGGUUUAAGGUAAAUUUAUUCAAAUGUACCUUUAGACCAUCUCCAACUCUUGAGGAUAAAACUUAAAAUUUUAAGUCAUAAUCCAUAAACUGUUUUUCUUUUUUAAUAGUUGUAGCCUAAAAUUUUAGCUUGAGAUUAUAAAAUAAUGAUUUAUCCUUUUUUUUUUUCAGUAACUUUUUUUAGAAAAUAAAAUUUAUGUUGAUUAUUCUAAUUUAUUUUUAUGAACAUUUUAACGUUAAAAUAUUUAAAUUAUGAUAAAUAAUUAAAAAUCAUACAAAUAUAUAGGUAUUUAUAAAGUUUUA
This 682-nucleotide long non-coding RNA is filed under the name Malus domestica (apple). Its description in RNAcentral is "long non-coding RNA (MDOM_LNC008189)". Lineage: Eukaryota; Viridiplantae; Streptophyta; Magnoliopsida; Rosales; Rosaceae. The record is from RNAcentral.